This 252-nucleotide ribosomal RNA is filed under the name uncultured bacterium. Its description in RNAcentral is "partial 16S ribosomal RNA". It matches the Rfam family "Bacterial small subunit ribosomal RNA", at positions 524 to 776 of the family's 1533-position model. The record is from RNAcentral.
UACGUAGGGUGCGAGCGUUGUCCGGAAUACUGGGCGUAAAGCGUGCGCAGGCGGUGAUGUAAGACAGAUGUGAAAUCCCCGGGCUCAACCUGGGAACUGCAUUUGUGACUGCAUCGCUGGAGUGCGGCAGAGGGGGAUGGAAUUCCGCGUGUAGCAGUGAAAUGCGUAGAUAUGCGGAGGAACACCGAUGGCGAAGGCAAUCCCCUGGGCCUGCACUGACGCUCAUGCACGAAAGCGUGGGGAGCAAACAGG